Molecule: ribosomal RNA, 489 nt
Filed under: Fusarium oxysporum
Lineage: Eukaryota; Fungi; Ascomycota; Sordariomycetes; Hypocreales; Nectriaceae
Description: eukaryotic LSU rRNA
Rfam family: 5.8S ribosomal RNA (bases 125-278)
Source: RNAcentral
UGUGAACAUACCACUUGUUGCCUCGGCGGAUCAGCCCGCUCCCGGUAAAACGGGACGGCCCGCCAGAGGACCCCUAAACUCUGUUUCUAUAUGUAACUUCUGAGUAAAACCAUAAAUAAAUCAAAACUUUCAACAACGGAUCUCUUGGUUCUGGCAUCGAUGAAGAACGCAGCAAAAUGCGAUAAGUAAUGUGAAUUGCAGAAUUCAGUGAAUCAUCGAAUCUUUGAACGCACAUUGCGCCCGCCAGUAUUCUGGCGGGCAUGCCUGUUCGAGCGUCAUUUCAACCCUCAAGCACAGCUUGGUGUUGGGACUCGCGUUAAUUCGCGUUCCUCAAAUUGAUUGGCGGUCACGUCGAGCUUCCAUAGCGUAGUAGUAAAACCCUCGUUACUGGUAAUCGUCGCGGCCACGCCGUUAAACCCCAACUUCUGAAUGUUGACCUCGGAUCAGGUAGGAAUACCCGCUGAACUUAAGCAUAUCAAUAAGACGGAG